Long non-coding RNA from Taeniopygia guttata (zebra finch), 3983 nucleotides. The record is from Ensembl. NCBI's taxonomy places the organism in Eukaryota, Metazoa, Chordata, Aves, Passeriformes, Estrildidae.
GGGGAGCGCAGCCCGUGCCUCAGCCCCACGUGUGGCGGCCGAGCGGGGAAGUUGCCGGCGGCCGGCGCUGCGGACCCUGCUCCUCUCCCGCCGCUGCCCGGCCCUUCCCGUCUCUCGGAGCACGCAACUCCAACCUAUUUAUAACAUACAGACCUCCUAAGAUGAAGCUAAGAAGAAGACUAUUCUCAACCUUUGUUGAUUUCACUGAUAAAUGAAAUUGAAAUGAAAUUGUCAGAUAAAUGAACUUCUCCUUGCACAGCAGUUUUAGCUGCUGGUUUCCCUAAUGCUUGUGGGAAACGUGGAAGGGACAUCUACCAACAGGAAUUUUAGGUGAAGCUAUCAAAUACUGUCCAAUAUUUUGGGAGAACAACCUGUUUCUUUAGUGCAUUUUCCAGCCUGGACUUGCAUAGGUCUCCAUUCUGCUCCUCGAGAGGGUUUUGGCAGAGCUGUUGGCCACAAAUGCAGGGCAGCACAGAGGAGCAUGGACAGCACUGACAGACUUACAGGGACAAAGACAAGUGACUUGCAGAGCUGGGCAGCUUCAGAUGCUGCCAGGAUGGACACUGGAAAAGUCUCCUAGGGAGUCCUGAGCACGCAUUACACCUUUUUGGGAUAUGAUUGGUGUUCACAGUCCCAUGGGACUGGUUUGUGUUCAAACCAGUAACAUCAAAUGUUCAGUAGUGACUGCAUACCCACGCCUCCUGUCUGUGGAACAGCAUCUGAGCUUUACAGCUGCCCCAGAGCGUGGGGUGGAAAUGGGCCUGUGUGAGGUGACAACCCUCAGUAAUGCUCCCUAGCUGAUCGCUGGGUCAUUGCUGUUUGUUUGGAGAGGGGUCUGGGUGCAGUAGCAGCAAGAGAGUGGACUGUGUGCUCACUGAGUGGACUGUGUGCUCACUGGUUGCUGCUAGAUCUGUAUGCUAGCAAAAUAAUUUCAAUAUUUAAAAAAAAAUCUAAUCAUGUUUUUCUAUGCAUUAAAUAAACACAAAUGCUUUUGCACAUAUGUAUGUAUGUAUAAGAGAUACAUGUGCUGAUUAGGUGAUAUGACCUAUCUUACUGGAUGGUAGCUACAUUUGAUGAUGGCAGUGUGUAAAGUAACGCAGUUUCCUUAUUUGUUUUCACAAAUUUUCCUUCUCCAUCAUCUUUCUCCCUUUCUUGUUGCUUUGAAGACCAACAAGGCUUGUCCCAAUGAUGGUGUUCCACCAAGAAGCAGUGGUGAGAAGCUGAAUGAACUCCUGCAUUAAGUCACAGAAGAUGGGUCCUGUUUCAGCAGGCAGCACUGCUGUUAUGGGGGCUGUGCUCAAAGAGAUGCAUAGAUCUCUUGCAGUUCUAUCAGGGUUUGAGGAAGCUAACCACCACUUCUUUCUGCUGAACUGGGCGGGCUCUGCUUUUACUGCUACGGAUGAGCUUCAGCUGCUCCCAAAGCUGUCUGAGCCCUUUGAGAAUGGAUCUGGCAUCUCAUUCAGGUUCAGGUGCUUCAGAACAAAAGGAUCUCUGUCUCCAUACUAAUCUCUCCACCAUGAACUGCAAGAAACAUCCUGGGUGGAUUGGCAUCCGUGACAUGCAGUAACAAUUUGUACUGCAUGCCAAUAUAGAUUUCUCCAGUUUUUGAUUCAUUAUGAAAAUGCUUGGAGAAAUUGUCCCACAAAGAGAUCUUGCCUGUUGUCUUCUCUGGAGAUCCCCAAGGCUGAUGGCUUUACAGGGCCACCAGAGCAGUGGUAGGGCUGUAAGUCCACAAGUUCUGUAACCAGGUGAGACUUUUCUUUAGAGCGUGAAAGAUCCUGAGGUGUCUGUGAUGCUGUUUUGGGUUGCUUCUUUUUUGGUUUGUUUUGGUUUUUAAUUUUUUUUUUUUUAAUUAUAGCAGUAACAGCUUCCCAGUAAGUCCUGCAUACAGCUGAGGAGUUACCUUCCUUUCUACUCAUUAUGGCAAAGAGUUAUGUGGGCAGAUGUGGCCUGUGUGCGUAUUUGCUGAGCUCUUAAUCCUGUUUGUGGCUGAUAGACCAUGCAAAUAUGGAAGGGCAUCUCUUUCAGUAUAUAAAGGUCUUAACUGCUCACCACCUUAGGGAAACGUGCUGUUAAAAUGCUUUAAUUGUUUUAUAAGUAGGUACAGGCCAUGAAGUUGUAGAUGUAAAAUCCUGCAACAAAGCAGACCACCAGCCUUUUUUUUUUUUUUUUUUUUUCCUUCUGGUUGCUUGUUUGGCUUUUUGAGAGAGAUAUUUUUACUAAAGACAGAUCAUAAAAUAAGUACUGUAGGUAACAGAGGAAGCAGGCUUUGUAUAAUGAAUGGGGGAAGCAGCCAGAGAUGAGAUAUUCGUGAGCCCUUUGAGCACAUAUAUAUCUUGAGGGGAUAAGAAUGUGUGAUACUAUUCUCUCUGUUGUCUUUUGCCCUGUCACUAGUUUAGUUUCCGUAGGGGGUUUUUUUGGUCUUCUUUAUCCUUUGUUCUUUGCAUCUAAAAUGGAUGUACAAUGCAACAAAGGUAGUCACUUCGUACUUUCUUAAAACUGUGAGCUUUUGGGUGUCUGUGUAUCUAGAAGUUUCUGACCACUGUUGUAAUUAGAAAUCUUGUACCUCAAAAGGUAGGGCAUACCCCAAUCAAAUUACUUUGCAUUAAAGUUCUGAAAGUACAAGCAUAAUUUUAAGUAUAUGAGCAACUUGUCAGAGGGAUUAUCUUUCGAGUCCAUCAGUAUUUUGGUCAAAACUUAAUGUAAAUGAAAGUGUGCCGUGCAGUGAACUUUCCAUUGCAGUUUCCGGUGAGUGUAGAAAACACCAGUUGUUGCAAUUCACGUGUGCUGUUUAAGUAGCUACAUCAUUGAUGGGGCUGCAUUCUUGGGACCAGAGGAGUUACAUUGUGUAGUUUUGUGGUGAGAUUCUUUGGGUAUAAAAAGCUGCUAAGUAGCUGCCUGCCUUCCUCUUUGCUCAUACGCUCUAUUAAAGGUAUGUGCAAGAUAGGGACCUUACUUCCACGUUUACCAAAGUUCGGUGGGAGGUGUUGAUAAAACCAGAAAGUGGGGCUGGAUUUGUAGGUGGAAGAUGGAGGGUAAGUGAUUUGUGACACUGACUUUUGCAGCAUGCACGGCACUCGACUGUUAGGUUUCUCUUGAGUGCAGGUUGCUAACACAGCCACGCUUGUGUUUUCCCUUGUCUGUAAGAGCUGCUUCUGUGACCAUAAUGCAGUCUCUGACUUACAAAAAGGAGACACAAUAAUAUGGAAAUUCAGUGAAAGUGUCAGUUUUGAGUUUUUGGAUUCUUUUUUUCUUUAAAUAGGUAGUAACAAUACUGCUGGGCUUUUCCCAGUCCUCUGCAGGUGCCUGUGGACCUGCAGGUAAAGGGUCAUAGCAGAGGAGUCUGACUGCAUGUAGAGUGGGUGGGUAUUGACUUUCUGUGUUAUGGCAGAGGGUCAGAAGAGGCAGGUUUACAAGGUUUUGUGAAACGGUCUGAUGUGUGGAAGCAGGAAUGCUGAAACUCAUUAUUGGACUUACCAAAGCCUGUGAACCUAGGCUAGAAUGUGAACUCGUGACUGGUGCCCUAAGUCUUAGUGCCAGCUAACCUCUUUUCUGAUCCCUUUCAUGAUUUUUAUUUUAUCUUGUUUGGAUUGCACUUGUUUUCCAUUAGACUUUUUCUUGUGGUCCUUUUAUUUGCUCUGGUAUUUUUCUUUCUAUUUACCCUAGCUUUUCUUUGACGGUUUCUCUGAUUUUUUUUUAAUUGCAUUGUUAGAUUUUUCUCCUGUGCACAACCUGUGUUGUUUACAUUUAUUCUUCCUUUAUUCAUCUUCUUACAUUUUUCUCCUUUUAACUCUUAUUCUUGGAGGAACCAGUUUUACUCUUUGAGACCAUCCCUUUCUUAUUGAUUGCCAGCUGCUUUUAUUGAAACUAAUUUACAUUCUCUGCUCUUAUUGUGCUAGACAGAGGACUAGUGAUUUUGAGUAAAGCUCUUUCCCAAAAGGCUUUGCUCAGAAAUUGUCUCUGUAUUUCACAAAAAGAGUGGA